Molecule: non-coding RNA, 265 nt
Organism: Bufo bufo (common toad)
Lineage: Eukaryota; Metazoa; Chordata; Amphibia; Anura; Bufonidae
Source: RefSeq, a predicted model, not a curated record
UAUUUGCAGUCUCCUCUCAGGCCCCCGGUUGCAGGUACUUGGGGUCUUCGGAGCUGCAUAGAAUAUCCAUGUGAGGAAGCCGAGACCUCCCUGCCUGAGUACCAGCAGCUUGAUGUGCUAUGUUCCUCACACACCACUUUGUUCUGUUGCCACGGAGAUAAUGGCGUUCCCCGUGUUAUUAUCUAUCCGCCAACAGAUAGAGCAACGCAGCGAGAUAUUGUUUACAGACUGAAGUCGUCUGCUAAAUACUGGACCUGCUAUAUCG